GAAAUUCUUUGGUUCUUGCUGCUGGCUGGAGGGUGAACAGAGCCCCCAGUGUUUAUGCAGAGAAAAGAAUGUAGGGUCCUCUUCCAGCUGUUCCAUGUUAGAGCUGCUGGCCUGCAAGAAUAGGAAGAGGUCUGGGCUAUUUGAUGACAAGGUCCUGUCCAGUCAUGGAGACUUGGGAGACAGUGAAGUGAGUGUGCCUUCAGAGUAGCAAGAGGAGAGCCAGCCUCUUCCUCAUUCCUCCUCCCUGGUAUGGUGCUCAUGAUGCUGAAGAAGCUAGAAUGGGAUGUUUCCAUAUAUAGAAUCAUAGGGUGGAAGUGACUGCUGGAAAUUCUCACUGGCCUUUUCCUGACUGCACCCAAAGGAUCCUGCACUGCCAAGUAUGGAGGGUCAUUCUGAGGGAGAUUCCAUUCAUCCCAAGCCUGACAGCCUACACAGUUACUCCAGGGAGGCAAUGGCAGGGCCCCCUUUGGUUGAGUUCCACAUUUAUAAAUAGUAGAAGGGCCAACCUUCUUCCUUAGGGUGUAGAAACAUAAUUAGGUAGGUAACUGAUGAUCCACUCUGUCUGCUUCUGUCUUUAAUGCCAAUGGGUAGCUCAGUUUACCUGCUUGGUUUUGCUUUCUCAGGUUUGACAAACAAGAUUAUAUAAACUUUUUCAUGCUGUAGAAUGUGAAGAAUUUAAGUACAGUCAUUUAUAUGUUGAAUGCUCGACUUUGACUCUUGUAGGGACUGUUUAUUGAUAAUCAUCUUCAUGUUACUUAAAUGCCGAGCAAUAUUUUUUUCCUUUUGAGUAAUGGAGAGGAUUUUUUCCCAGUAUAGCAGUUAUCUGUUUAGUGAGUAAUUAGAUGUAUAGUAUUAACAACGAGUGACUUAGUUUAAAAAAAAUAUAAUUCAACAAAAUUCAACCUCGGUGAUUUUUAAAAGUCAUUUGGAAAUUUUUCAUUUAACCAUACCUGUUUACAAUGCCUACCUAUUUGUGCUGCUAAAUGAUGCAGAAGUACAAAAUAUAGAAACGUUAUGUAAGGUGGGGACCAUCUACCAGUUUCUGGAUUAAUCAUUCAGCCUAAACAUUUUGCCUGCAUGGAAACCCUUGUACUUGUUUUGUUGCGUGGCCAGGACAGAAAAUCACUAGGGAGGUCAUAUAAUGGUCUAGUUUACUUUGGAGGGUAGGCAUCAUAAAGAGCAUCAAGAUUUGUUCCAGCAUACCUGUUGUGCCUUUCUGCAUUUCUGGAACUUAGCCAAGAACCAGGAAGGAGGCAAAAAAUGUCUACUUAGCAACACUAGCAGAGUAGAUGGCAUAAAAAUCCAGAUACUUGAGACCCUCCCCCUUUCAAAACAUUCUUACUUUUAUUCUAAACACAAUCCUAACAUUUUUUUUUAAUUUGAAAAAUAAUCCUUAGUGUAUUGGGAAUAGUACACUUAGAAUAGGGUGAGAGUCUGCUGUAAUCAGCAGUGAAAAGUGACCCCCUGAUAAUCUGAUAAGAAGGAAAGAGAAAAACUAUAACUUCAGACACAAGAAUUGGAGCACAAGCCCUGAAGGCUUUGAACUAUUGAGGUGGGAAACCUUAAUUGACCCUGCAGGCAUCUGUUUUUGAUGAUAUAAGCCAAUAAUUUCUACUUACUAAAGCAGACUACCAAAAGAGUGCAUUUUAAAAAAUACACUUCUUAUGAAGCUGGGGAAGUGUUCAAUAUACUUGGGAAAUAUUUACACCCAAGAUAAUUAACCUCCAAAGCUGUUCUUACCAAUUCAGAAAACUCGGAUGUGCAGAAUGACUCAUUCAUUGAGUGGUUGAGAUUUCUCGUACCAAAGUCAUCCAGUAUUAUUUAUUUUGUAAUCAUCAAUUAAAACAUAGCAUUUAUUCUAGUGUUUAGAGAUUUUAAAACGUGGUAAAUGGGAACCAAAUUCAUAUCUGGGGUUUGAUUCAGUUUAAAAAAAGAAAAGAAACGAAUAAUUAGUAAUUGUGUGAAUUUGGUUGUUUUUUGCAGGACUCUAUAUUUAAAUCAAGAGAGAGCCUGAACAUUAAACAUGAUUUAUCUGAGAUCUGUG
This 2044-nucleotide long non-coding RNA is filed under the name Marmota monax (woodchuck). Lineage: Eukaryota; Metazoa; Chordata; Mammalia; Rodentia; Sciuridae. The record is from RNAcentral.